RNAcentral lists this ribosomal RNA (853 nucleotides) under uncultured Corynebacterium sp. RNAcentral describes it as "bacterial SSU rRNA". It matches the Rfam family "Bacterial small subunit ribosomal RNA". The record is from RNAcentral. Lineage: Bacteria; Bacillati; Actinomycetota; Actinomycetes; Mycobacteriales; Corynebacteriaceae.
GACGAACGCUGGCGGCGUGCUUAACACAUGCAAGUCGAACGGUAAGGCUCCAGCUUGCUGGGGUACACGAGUGGCGAACGGGUGAGUAACACGUGGGUGACCUGCCCUGCACUUCGGGAUAAGCCUGGGAAACUGGGUCUAAUACCGGAUAGGACCGCACCGUGAGGGUGUGGUGGAAAGUUUUUUCGGUGUGGGAUGGGCCCGCGGCCUAUCAGCUUGUUGGUGGGGUAAUGGCCUACCAAGGCGGCGACGGGUAGCCGGCCUGAGAGGGUGGACGGCCACAUUGGGACUGAGACACGGCCCAGACUCCUACGGGAGGCAGCAGUGGGGAAUAUUGCACAAUGGGCGGAAGCCUGAUGCAGCGACGCCGCGUGGGGGAUGACGGCCUUCGGGUUGUAAACUCCUUUCACCAUCGACGAAGGGUUUCUGACGGUAGAUGGAGAAGAAGCACCGGCUAACUACGUGCCAGCAGCCGCGGUAAUACGUAGGGUGCGAGCGUUGUCCGGAAUUACUGGGCGUAAAGAGCUCGUAGGUGGUUUGUCGCGUCGUCUGUGAAAUUCCGGGGCUUAACUCCGGGCGUGCAGGCGAUACGGGCAUAACUUGAGUACUGUAUGGGGAGACUGGAAUUCCUGGUGUAGCGGUGAAAUGCGCAGAUAUCACGAGGAACACCGGUGGCGAAGGCGGUCUCUGGGCGUUACUGACGCUGAGAGCGAAACCUGGGAGCGAACAGGAUAGAUCCCCUGGGGGCCAAGGGCGAAUUUCACAGUGGUAUCUAGCGGAUCCGAAAACGCCGACACCGGGGGAGUUUUUUUUUUAUACAACUUUUUUCCCCUGGGGAGGGUUAAUUAAAAAA